Molecule: non-coding RNA, 9710 nt
Organism: Podarcis lilfordi (Lilford's wall lizard)
Lineage: Eukaryota; Metazoa; Chordata; Lepidosauria; Squamata; Lacertidae
Source: the annotation of a GenBank genome assembly
GUUUGUUGUUGGCUCAGCUUUUUUGUACACUGCUUUGAGAUAUUGUAAAUAUACUAAGUGUUUUAGAAAUUAAAUAAUCAAUCAUCCAAAGGCACUUGCUGACAGAAACAGGCCUGAAGCCCAUGAAGGUAGAAAUUGUAACUUCUCCUUAAAACAAAAACAGUUCCUGACAGGUUUCCUAAGGUAGGACACUAACCCUAAAACAUACCUGUAAAUGGAUGGAGUCCGGUUUUCUAAAUCUCUGACAUAAGCAUGGACCUUCAACUCUCUUCAGUGACCAUUUUCUCUGAGAGAAAAUAGCCUGGAAAUUUCUCUCCAAAGUGUCCAACUGAGCAUGCUCCAAAGUGGAAUCUCAAUUUCUAGUCAGGGGAGAGAGAUGCCUUGGCUUCCCUACAAGAAGAGUGUUGACAGAGAUUCUUUGCCAUUAACAACAUCAUUCUAGGCAAAAAGUUAAUGCAGGUUGUGGAGAAAGUUGUAUAGGUGUCUGCUUAGGUUCAUUGCUGUGAAGGAAGAUAUAUUCUGUGACCUCCCUGAGUGUCAGGAGGCCUUAUUUUGGCCGGAUGUUACAAGCCUGUUUUAGAAGUGGUUGCUAAGUGACCACUUGUGGCAGAGUGGGGUUGCUUUAAGCUUUAGUAGCUUGGAUCUGGCAGAUUUCAGUCUGUUUAGCUGGAGGCUCCAGUCAGUUGGAGGGGCAACAUUCAGUUGGGGGUCAAUUAUCAAAAAGAGAGAGAGAGUGAGAGUUGGGAAUUGGUUGAAGUGAGGAGGAGUGGAAGUAAAUUCGUGGGGGUAGAAAAUUAAGCUUGAGAUAGUAGCUGUGGCUCUUAAGUCUGUGGAAAUUGCCACCUAGCACUUUGAUGCCCAAUAUAGGUUUCCAUUUCCCCUUAGGUAUCUAAAAAUCCCCUUAAUAAAACAAUUUAAAUUUACGCUAGAGGAGGUGUUCUUCUUAUACCCGAGCCUAACUAGGUGUAGGAUUGCAAAGGUUGUGAAGCGCUCUGUUAUGAGCCCUGAGGAGAUGACCUGGAGGGGCUGGUCAGAUCAGGAUGAGGGGUGCAAGGAGCUCAAAGAGUUGCUGGCUGGCGAUCCUGGGGAGGGACCAAGCAGGCUGGGGCAUCAGGGAAGAAAAAUGGAGCUUUCCCCAAGUGUAAGAGGCUGCUGAUACCAAGCACAGGAGUGGCUCCAAACAUUCAUACCGUAACACCGUGGGAAAGCAGGUAUAGGGUUGCAGCCUUCAAUUAUUAGUUUGACUACCUAUCUUAUUUUAGGAACCUGCUUCUUGAGAAAUGGCCCUACCACCACAAGUUAUACCCUGCUCUGGUACUAGCACCAAGCAUAAGUUCAUCUACUUUUAUGCCUCCCUCACACUGUGCAGGAAGGGGUUACUUUCCCUUCAGUUCUAUGGUACAGCAGUCCUGCACAAGCAUAUACCAGCAAUUAGAUUUCAUAAAGGAAGGGAUCCAUUUUUCCUGGGACACACUCCCAAGGCAUUCAGUUACUUGCAGCAGUGCAAGUUACUACUUGUGGUGUUGCAACAAGAGCAAAUCACAGAGUAUGGGGGUCCACUUAAUAUUUAUAUUUAAUAUUUAAAUCAGGUUUCCACAGCAUGCAAAGGUAAGAAUAUGUAUAUAUUUGUUUAUUUGUAUAGCACAAAAUACACAUCCCACCUUUUGCUCUGAAAUGAUCUAUAUCGUUGACUCUAUGAGGCAGCUUGGAAACGAUUUUAAAGCUCCAUAGUACACAUAAAAAGAACAACACCACCACCCCACAAUAACCAUGAGAAUAAUUAGUUAAAUAAUCUGGUGGGGAAAGCAAAAGAGAAGCAGAGAGACAUUACUAGAGGUUCUCAAAGACCCUCCAGAAAAAGAACUACCUGCAAUGUCAAAACGCCAAAAAAGAAACCCUCCCUUCUCUGAGAGGAAAUUGCAUUAUCUCAGUGCUCACGGUGAAAAGGCACAAUCACAAGCAUCUAUCAUCCUCCAAAGCAAAAUCUCGGGGAAAUCUCUGGACAUAGGUAAGUUCCUAUGAGUGCGUUCGGUACUUGUGGUAUUUCAUGCAAGUCUAGUUUCCUACACUUUGGAAAAAGGAACAUGUAAAGUAGAUGGGCUAGUUUAGUCGUGACACAUCAUGUGGGUGAUUAAGAUGCCCCAAAGUGACAAAGCUAAUCUUAAUGCCUAGUUCAACUACUUAAAUUUGGAACACGAAAAUACAAAUCAACACAUUCUACUAAAAGAGCAGGGAAGCCAGUCCUUAGGUCACAUUGUCUAGAGACUGACCAAGUUAAAGAUUACAGAUGAAUAACAGAACAUUUGUUUUAGGAGUAUACAUGAAGAGAUGUAGUGGUCUCUGCUGGCAAGUACUGAGGAACUAAGUGACUUCGGUCUUAAGAACCCUCAAGUCUGCAUGAGUUCACAGACUGCUUUGAACAGUACAUGAUCUGAUAAUUAGACACUUUUUGUACAAAUUUCUAAGAGGUUUUUCACAUGCUUCCAUCAACUAAAUAAUAUAGUUUCAGAAAUCACCCAUUACAGUGUAUUACAUUAUCAGUUACUAGAAUUUUGCCUUUUUAUUAUUAUUAUUCCGACUUCUUUCAGUUACUGUCUUCGGCUUUGACUCCACAGUAUGAAUAUGUAGUGAGACAGAUCUAUAUAUACUUAUUUUACACAGAUGAUCUUAUACCCUAUAUAAAAAGCCCCUCCGAACUCUGAAUAUUUUCCAACGUUUACUUAAAUGUAUUAAUAACUAUAAUUCUAAAUCAGAUUUUAAGUAAGUAUUAUCAGAUGUUCUGGCAUUGCUGACAUUUUCACAAGGAGACAAAUCUCUAGAUUAAGAGACUAAACAUUUUUGUUCCAUUUAUAGUCAGAAGACUUAUUCAAAAGAAAAGGAGGGGGGAAGCCACAUGGACACAAAGUCUCACAUAGUCUUCCUGCCUCCAAAUAUCUUUGACAUUUAUGUCCCUAAAGACUUCUGAACAUUAUCAUAUUUAUUGCAUGUUGGCAGUUAUCAGCAUCUCAGGCAUUGGUGGGGGGGGAUUUAUGUUACUAAAUCAUAUACACUAAUACCAAUGAGAUUACUAGACCAGUUAAAACCAGAUGCUGGUAUCCAGAUUUCACCCAUUAUAAACAUACACUCACACACAUAUAUCAAGGAACCUUCAGUUGAGCCACUUGCAAUUCACUCAUGCACUGUAAAGCAUGAAAAUGUAAAAUCCUUCUGUGUCAUGUAAGCAGCAUGCAUGUUCUAUAAUCUCAUACAUCAUGCUCACAUACAAUUUAGCCUUCCUAUGCCCACACUUUCCUUUGGCCUAAAAAGCCAGGGAUGUUGGCCCUGACCUGAAGUGGCUGCCAUACAACCUGCUCCCUUGUAACCAUUGAUACUCAAGCCACACACCCCAUGUCAUAACAAUGUAUUGUCCCUGGGUAAAGAGGGGCAAGCAGGCAGGUCUCGCUUGGCAGUACACAGGAGCAUGGUUGGGUUUUUUUUUUGAAGGCUUGGUUCUUUAUGCAGUACCUUUGGAGCAUUCUCAGUGUAGGUAUACAUAGAAGAAGCAAAGUCCUUGAGUAUGAAAAAUGUGGGAAAUGACUGGUUACACAAUGCUGUGCAAAUAUUGGAAAGGACAAGGAACCAUUUUGAAUGGAGGCUUUCUGUGGUCGAAGUGCUGCCAAAGUCCUUCACCUUGUAAGUGAUGACAUGAAAAGAUUUAUGAUAUAUGCACAUGCAAGCAAACACUCAUAACCAUAUAAGAAUUUAUGCUUAAUUCUUUUCCGUGUGAAAACCAUCACAUGAAUUAUGAUGAUGAAAACUAAACCUUUGGAGACCCAGGAACUCAUAACUCAAAGUUACUAGGAUCCCUAAACUGAACAAAUAUUUCAAGAAUCCAACUGUGGUUUGAGAGAACAAGCAGCCAUUACUCUAUCAGGCUAAAGCAUCAUUUAUGGAGGUAUUACCCUUAGGGAAUCACUGAACCCACUUCACAUAGUUCCAUUAAUCCAUAGCAUUUGUGUAUCAUUACUAGAUUUAAAAAAACAGAACAAUAUAUGUAGAUUAUGGUGGUUAAUAGGGCAUCUGCUAUAGCUAGGAAUACAAAGCCAAUAGAGCACAUUUUCAUGUUACAUUCCAAUAAAAGACAAAAAAUGGGGGAAAGUUGUUUAUAAUGAUACAUCAUCAUGUUUUGAUAUUAGCCAUGACUAUACUGUAUACCACCAAAUUGUUUCUGUGCACAAAUAUGCUAUAUAUUCCAAAAUGAACUUUACACAGUUUUAAAUUUAAGCAAUCAAUCAAAUGUAUCGCUACAAAGGCCAAAGAAGUCCAAAAAGAUUCUGAGUAGCAUUUCACUGAAAUAUUUAUACAUCUAAUAUUGCAAUCUAUUGCAUUUUCCACAAAAAAGCAAUGCACUUGCCAUAUCUGAAAGAGGAAGUAUUUUGCUAAAAUUCACAACUCUGAGAAGCACUCCCUUUUAGCAACUAUUGGGAGAGCUUCAAAGCGGCACACAAAUGUUUGCGCAAGAGGGGAGUGUCCCCAUUGCUGAAGAAACCAGGUUGAUCGAUAGCGGACAUAACUGAGCAACAGGGACCCUCCUUUAUCCACAGCAAUUUAAACUGAGGGAGGAUAAAAGCCUUUUGUAAAGCCAUCUUAACAACAGCCACAUGAAGGGAGAAGGCAUAGCGAAAUAAGAUUACUUUUAUUAGACGUGAAUUCUUCAGAACAUACGUUUUCCUUUUUCAGUACAGAGCCAAAUUAGUUUCCUCAUCAUUUUCAUUCUAAUGGUAAAAAUAAAGACUCAGCUUCAAAAUUAUUUUAUAUUCUGAAGAAAACUUUUUAGCAAACAAGAAUCUGUGUUUGUCUGGUUGUAGACAAACCAGCUAGAGAAUACAUUCUGCCAGUGCAACAUGCCGUAGUUAUGGCAUACUGUUGCUUUAUCAAGAAUAAAUACAGAAAAUUUAAAGCCAAAGCCAAUCUGAGCACUGGACAAGCAUUUUUAUAAAAUUUGGGACAGGGUGCCUAACUGAAACAGAUUUGACCUGGUGAUUCUACAGUUCGGAGGGUACAUUAAACUCAUUAAAGUUCUUCCCUAUGGAAGUGAUAGGGAUGUGUUUACAGUCUAAGCCACUUUUGCAUACAUUCACCCAUGAUCCAUCGGGCUGAUCCAUUGGUCUUUCAUAUUAAAUGUGAUUUUUAAAAAAUCAUAUAAAUUUGCAUUAAAAUACAUAAUUUAAAACCUGCUCACUUUCAAGAUAUGCAUGUUCUAUCCUUUCAUUCAUCUGGUAGGUGCAGAUCAAGUCAAUUCAAACGAGAAAUGUGCAAAGACUGAAUUCCUCAAGCAUCACUGGCUGCGAUUUCCAACAGUGGUAUGUACGGCAGUAGAAACCUUGAUAUCCAGCAUCAGAAACCACACCAUACAUUUAAAACAUUCAUACCACUUUGUAAGUCAUGGCUUCCCCCAAAGAAUCCUGAAAACCGUGGUUUAUUAAGGGUCUCCUAACAACUCUCAGUGAACUAAACAAGCUACAGUCCCCAGGAUACUAUGGGAAAAGCUUAAAUGCAUGGUGUGGAUGUAGUGGCUCUCAGUUGAAGACCUCUGCAUUAUAAUGGUUAGGUCCUGGAAAAAACUAGUCCUCGGAGGACACUGUACUGUGUGGGACUAAGAGCCUCUUGACAAAUCUAAGCUUCCGCUGAAGUUGGAGAGAACAGAGGAUCCUAGGAAACUAUAUGGCAAGGCUGCAAGAAGUACAUCACGACUCUUCAGGAAAAAAGGAGCCAUUCAAUGACUCCAGUGUACAGGGAAAUAAGUUUUAUCACUAUAAUAACUCAAGUGUACAGCAUAAAGGCAGGAACUCUGGUUUGCCCGUUUCUAAAGGAAGAAUUUGUUCUGGGCGAUACAGACCUAAUUAAAAAUAAUUCUGGCUUCCCUUCAAUAUUCUGGCAGAUUUUGUUUUACAUUAAAAGGUCUGCUAUAAUGGGAAUCUACAAAAUAAGCUUGAAAUAUGACUCACUGCUAUUGUUUUCUCUGGUUUUUCCUCAGCUUCCUAUCCUGCCCCAUUUCCCUUGCUCACAUGAAUGAAACACACUGAUGGAAAGAUCAGGGCUUAAAAAGAUGUUGGUUGUAUAUUCUGAGUAAUGGAUUGCAAUUAUCUCACACUGCAGUGCACUUUUUAAAAAAUUAAAAUAGGUUAGGUGUUGGUUUCCACUUUAGUUUAUAGAAACACAUGGAGAUGGCUUAUGCAAAGGAAGACCACUGAGCCAUCUAGUGCAGUCCUUUCCACUCCAAAUAUCAGUAGCUCCCUAGAGGUUCAGCAGGGAUCCUGUGCAGACUGUUUAAAUUGGGCUGUUAAAAUUUUCAGGAAUUAUAAUGUAGAAGAUGAGCUCUGCCAUUAAGCUUAUGGCUCCUCCCUAAAAUACUAAGCUACCUUCACUAAAUCAAACCAUUGGUCUGUCUUGCCGAGAGAUAAGAACUAUAAAUCUAAACAAUGUAUUUAGCAAUACAGGUAUCAUUUUAAUCAAAUCAUCCUCAAAGCUAGAAAUGUACCCCCAAAAAGUCAUCAGUAAAAAUGAGUUAAUAACUGUGCAACCACCAGUAAAAUCCAAUAAAAUUUGAAUGAUCCCUAAGUCUUCAGGGUUAUUCCUAUUGCAUAUCCUGAACUUCUGUCUCUGAUCCCAGUCAGAACUCUGACAUGCAUGUAGUUGCUGAUGCUUCCUAAAGCAUGUGAGUACCAAAGAUGGAUACUGAGAGUGGUUAUUUACAGAGGGUGAAAGUGCCAUUAAUUAGAUGGCUGGAAGGGCACAGUGAACUGUAGUACGUUUCCCACUAAAUACAUAUAUGUGGCUAUCUGAGUAAUUUUAUAUCUCCUCCAAGGCACUAGAGAUUAUAAACAUUAAAAGAUAGACUGGAUUCUUACUAAGUAGUACAUCCCACUGAACGCAGUAGGACUUUUAAGUAAAUGCAUUUUUACACUUUGGUCUUAAAAUGAAGUCUUCUGGAAUCAAAUAUAAAAAUGGGCACCUACGUAACACAGCUUUUGAAGAGGCAUGGGCUGACACCUAGUGGAAUCUGCUAUGGAAACUAAGCAAACAAAUUUUUAAUGCAAUACUUAAUUUUCUUCACACUUUUAGUUGAUUUGAAGUGUUUGAGGAUUCUCCAUUCACCUAUAUCAGAAAUUAAGAUGGAAUUCUACCCCUUUAAAAAAAAAUCUGUCCCCAGUUAUGUGGAAUGCUACUCUGUAGCAUUCUGUCUGUAGUUGAUCCGUGUGAUCUUUCCUGCCAAUGAUGGGAGAUGGAAACAGCAGUGCCCACGGAUAAAGAAGUGAGAGUUAUACAAAUAAUUGGUUUUAAUAUAAUUUUACAACUGACUUAAACAGCACUAUGCAACAAAAAUGCAAAAGUGUUGAAAAUGAAUUAGCACAGCCCUUAUUGACUUUUCCCCAGACUCCGAAAUAUUGAUUCCUAUGCUUUUAUCAUUGAGAUAAAUGUAUGGACGGUUUCUGCUCAGAACAGGAACUGAUCAUCUGUGCCAGGUGCCAAAUUCACCUUUGUCUGCUCACAACAUCCUCCCCUGCCCUAGUGGGACACUUAUGCACCAGGUGAUUUUUCAAGUUGAAAUAUAUUAGAAAGAGAUGGUGGGAGACAAUGCACAACCUCCAUAGUCCUCAUUUGUCAUGAGGGAUGUAGCAGAAUGCACUUUCCAGUCUGAAACUCUGGACUGCUGCUGCCACUGCAGACAAACAAACCUAAAUGGUCCAAUGGCCUGACUCAACAUAACAGCAGCCCAAAACCUGAAGAGCACCAGGUGUUGUGUGGUGCAGACUAUACUGAUCUAGAAAAACCUAUGUUUCAUUUCCCUGUCUGCUGCACAGCCUCUCCCUGAACCAGGAUAGCUGUGUGACCAUGGGUGUGGGAUCUAGUAGACAGGCAUUAAUGGUGGGAGGGGGCAGGUGCAGUUUCUGUUGACUGCUGUAUUGCCCCAUGCAAAAUUAUCAUUAACUCCAAGUGAUUGUGCAGUUGGGGGCAAAAUCUAAGCCAGUUUAUGGACUGCAGAGUACGGCUAACAGUGCAAUGAGCUAGUGGAUCCAGCUGCUUUUCAAAAGGAAAGAGUCUGACAGCCAUAAAUCCGAACCAAGUUCUACGCCAUUUCAUUAUAAUGUCCUUUUUUAGUGCAGGAUUCUAUCACAUGGAUCUGAUAUAUGUGAGCAUCCAGAACUGUGCAAAUUAGAAUACACAUGUAAAGAAAAUAAAUGCUCAUUCAAGUACAGGCCAUAAACUCACUGGAAAGAGGUGAGCAUAAAACAAACACAUCUGUGAACAAACUCGGUGCCCGUGUGACUAUAAAAUGCUUUUAACUAUACUCACAGAUUUACACCAUUUCACUUUAGACUUUGAAAUGUAUGCAUUGUAAUCAUGAUGAAAGGGAAUGUGCCAGGUGAGGUUUACAAUCCAAAUAAGUCAACCACCGCCAACUUGCCUCAUUUAAUAUAAGGCAAUAGUGCCACCUAAAGCUGAAUAGCAGUAUAUGUACAUGUAUUUGUUGGUUUUUUAAACUUAACUCCUUUAUUUGGAGCAAGUAAAAUGUCAGAGUAGUGAGCAAGCUUUCACUCCUCUUCAGGCAGGAUGGUAACAUAAGGACAUCCAUGCUGGGUCAGGCAAAUAGCCCACCUAGUCUAGUAUCCUGUUUGCACAGUGGCCUACCACCAGAUGCCUAAGGAAGGAGGUGAGCACCACAAACAUGGCGCUUCCUUAAGCACAGUGGCUAUUAAGCACAAACAGGCAGGUGGUAGUGGUGAUGGGGAGAUUGCCUGGCCUCAUAAAAGAGCCAAUUUGCAGUUUAUAAUAGCAUUAGAGUAGGGGUCAGGUAGGUGUGCAGUAAGUGCAAAGAUGGUCUUCAGUUGCUACAAAGACUAAUGGGGAGAAAUGAGCCAUUGCUGCGCUUCUUUCAAAAAUGUAACACCAUGGCUUAUUGAGAUAUUUUUCUAACAGUUGUCAGAACACACUGAUCCUUUCUAAGCCAGAGAGCAAAGAAAAAAGAAAAAGAGAGUCGUUCUAACAUUUACAAAGUUGAAGAUUAUUAUUAGGUAGUGUACAAGGCAAAGCAUCAAUACCAACUGGGUAUUGCUUACUUUUUCUCCCACAGGCAUUAUUAGGUUAUAGGUUUUCUUUCUCAAGUUCUAGGACAUUGUCGCCUUAGACAAAAGACUCCUAUGUCUGUAUAACAUCUCCACUCAAUUUUUAUGCCAUUAUAAAUUCUAACAGGGAUUUGUCACCACAUGUGACAAAAUCUUCUCAACCUGACCGUACCCGCUUCAUAUUGCUUCAUAUUUAGCUUCAAGAAAAUUCUGGUGAACUCAAAAGCUUCCUCACUACUUUGUAAUUUUUUAAGGUGAUCUUAAUAUUACACUACUGUUGUCCCACCCCCACCCUCCAAGUUAAUCUAAUGGACCAACCUGCAUUUUUUAUUUCUUCCAUAUUUCCUCCAGCCAUAGAAGUCUUCAUAAGAGAUGUUUGAGGGGAGACAUUGUGCUGGCCAUCAGGCAAUGGCUUUUUUCACCUGCCAUGCCCCUCCCUCCAGCCCUAGGAGUCUUUCUCAGACCAUGCCGUUAGGAACAGCAGAAACAGCUGGGAAGAGAGAAAGGGAAUUCAUGGAUACUUUUUUUAAAAAAAAUAAUUUUAUAAGUUAUGUGUCUUUGAAUCUCAGUUUGUAUUGUGUUAUUUUAUGCACUGUGACUUAC